RNAcentral lists this long non-coding RNA (2650 nucleotides) under Triticum aestivum (bread wheat). RNAcentral describes it as "long non-coding RNA (TAES_LNC012462)". The record is from RNAcentral. Lineage: Eukaryota; Viridiplantae; Streptophyta; Magnoliopsida; Poales; Poaceae.
GAGGAACACCAUCUAAUGUGAUGUAUAAUCUAAAUAUUUUCUUGAUAGCAAACUUAAACUGAAAGCAUCCAUCACAUCCCUACAACUUAUCUAAAACUUAACCGAGGAACAUCAUCCAACAUGAACAUCAUCCCUACAACUUAAUUAAAACUGAAAGCAUCCACCGUCAUCAUCAUCAUCAUGAAUAGGAACAUCAUUAUCAUCAUUGCAGUAUACUUGCCACACACCCAUAUAAUCCUCCAUUUAUCUUUUGCAUCUAUAAACAAAAAAAACUGUUAACACACAAUGCAUUGACAUGAUGCAAAUAGUGAUAGAGGCAGGAUAUUGGUCAUUGUAUCGGCUAGUAUAUCCCUAUAUGCAAACUCCAGAAAUUUAUCUACACCAGCUGAGUACUGUCUACUUUCUCUAGUAAAUCACUAUGAAGAAACUGACCUUGUCAGAUAAAAAAUGAAGUAGUAUUGGUAAUUGUCAAGUCCAUCCUCUCAUCUGCUUGCAUGCCACAUACCUACACUGGUACACAUGAUAAUUAGCUAAAUAUUUUUUUCUUUGAUAUUGAAAACAAACCGUGAUAAUUUGUGUGCUACAAAUACAAUAGAACACCGUAUUUUGCGGGCGACGAACAACUCUGGACCCAGAAAAGGAUGGUUGCAAAUCAAUAGUGUGUAUACUGUUCUAGGAAAAUCUUAUUGGGCAAACCAAACUAAUUUAUAUUGAGAUUGCUAAAAGAGUAACUAAUUUAUAGUGGAAUGGCUAAAACAGUACCUUAAUCUUAUAGGGACAACUUGUAGGCGCGUAUUUCCUUGCAGUGUACUUCAUGAGUACAGGCUCAUAGUACUAAAAAAGAGUAGUACAUCACAGGUUAAUCCUUGUAUCUAGUUUGUUCUUUCCCUUUCCGUAUGGGAUUUGCAAAACAAAAACAUCUGUUCUAUCCAUACUUCAUACAUAUAAUAGGCAGAAUAGAACUUGUUCCUGACUUUUAGUGCCGAAUAGUACCCGAAAAAAUACACCUAUAGAAGCACCGUGUCCUGAACUAAUGAUAACCACAAUACAAAUAUCCUUUUUAGUUGAAAAGACAAACUUUUUAAUAUUAAAAUAUUCUCAUGAUUUUUUAAACAGGAUACAACGAGAUACCAUGUUACCACAAAGGAAGUAAAAAAGAUGGUACAAUUAUGCUUUAUUUGGUUUGAGAGGACAUACGAAUAAUGAAUAUAAUUUGUAUUGGCCACAAUACUGGGAUAACAAUACAUCAGCUCCCAACUGUAACAAAAGUACCUAUAUUAUUUUUGGGAAGUAAGGGAAAGCAUCUAACUUACCGCCAAAUAGUGGUUGAAAUAUUCAUCAUUUGGUACUAAAAACACCUUGCUGAUGAUAUAGUCAUACAUAAUAAUCAUAUCUGACUAACAGAACUUGAAGAUCAGUUUUUAUUUCACAAGGGAAAAGACAGCAAUCUGCAAAAUAUAAAUCAAUAACUAACCAUUAAAAAGGAAAAUAAAUAAUUCUUCUCAGUUUCAAAGCCAACAUGGUAUCACAUAAUAAUACCAUAUACAUACCCUGGCUGCAGCAUGUGCACUGUAAGCCAGGUAGACUAAGUUAAGAUAUACAAUUGUAAAAGCCAUGUAUAUAUAGUGCGUGAUAUUCAACUUGAAUUACAAUCGCUUAUAUGUUGUGUUAAAUUAAUUGCUGCACUUUAUUGUUGUUUAAAGCAUAUCAAUUUGCAUAGUAUAGAGAGGCUAGAUCAUUACCCCUGCCAGAAAUGUUAUUGGACGAAAACGACAUCAGAAAGGUAGGAAGGCGCUUGAAUGAAUUCGCGUACUUUGCUGAAACUGGGCACCUCCUGAAAGUGAUGAGUUGUCAUUAGUCACCAAAGAGCUAACACCAAUGGUUGGUCCAGAUGAAUUUGUAGUACUGACUGGAACGCUACCAUUCAUGUCCCUGGGAAGAAGUCCAAGGUUGGAGCAUGGGGCGCGGGACUCGGAGGUCAGCAGUGUUGAACUGAACUACCACCUUGAAGACUCUUGCUUAAUAGGAUCGAACGUCUCUGGAAACUAGUAAGGAUCUUCAGAUAUUUUCGCUAGAAACUGCAAAGUGUAAUUAUCAGUAAGAUGUUGAAGCAAUGCAAGCGAAUCAAGAAAAUAGUCACCACAAAAUUUCUUAACCAAUGAGCUUAUGAACCAACAGUCUCAGGACGUCUAAUUCUAAGUUACUAACUUCUACGUCUCAAAAUCAGGAGGACUCGUUUCACGACAUCAGAGAUAAAAAUAGCCAUCAUCAAAAAGCAAGUGUCAAUCCGAUCUAGAGAUAACACAAAUAGAGAUGAAAUAUGGCAAGAAAAGUUGACAGAGACAAGAUAUUUCAUUUGAAUCACGUACUAGCACAUGGAUACAGCCUAGGCAAAGAAUGAGCAGACUUGGUGGGCAGGUUUGAGCCUGUUCAUGGCCUUACUUUGGAUUCGCCGUUGGUCGCAGUGGAGCAGUGACAAGGGGCGGCGCACCAGGAUCCAGGGUCGCAGGGGAGUGGUGAUGAGGGGCGGCGCGCCGGGGUGGAGGGUCGCAGGGGAGUGGUGACGGGAGGCUCGCCGGCAUGUAGGUCGCGGCCGCGCAAAGGAGUCGCAAUGUCUGACGAUGGGCGGCGGCCGGCGUGGGAGGACUCG